CCUGCUCAAUGAUAAUUUAAUAGCCGCUUUUAUAAGUGCUAAGGUAGCAUAAUCAUUAGUCUAUUAAUUAUAGAAUAGAAUGAAAGGAUUAACGAGUUAAGAACUUUAUUUUACCUUUAUCAUAAAACUAAUAUAAAAGUAAAAAAGCUUUUAUUAAAUGAAAAGACGACAAGACCCUUUAGAACUUAACUUAAAGUUAAACUGGGACGGUUAUCAUAAAAACUAAUUUUAAACCAUCUAAACAACUUAAAAACAAAUAUAAAAAGUUACCUAAGGGAUAACAGCAUAAUUUUAUAAAAAAGAUCUUAUAAAAUAUAAACAUUAUGACCUCGAUGUUGAAUUACUAUACUUUUAGUAGAAAAUUACUUUAAAGUAAGUCUGUUCGACUUUUAAAAAAGUACAU
Molecule: ribosomal RNA, 403 nt
Filed under: Althepus sp. 336 FL-2018
Lineage: Eukaryota; Metazoa; Arthropoda; Arachnida; Araneae; Ochyroceratidae
Description: partial 16S ribosomal RNA
Rfam family: Bacterial large subunit ribosomal RNA
Source: RNAcentral